GAUUACAUACACGGAACUCAGUUCCUAAGGACGGUUCCAAUGAAACAACCCGCCAUGUACUCCUACAUAGCCUUUCACCGGUACCUUUACCAAAUCAGGUUCAACCACACAACCUUUACUUACUGAACACAUUCUCACAAUUCUGUUCAUCACCCAGAUGACAGACCAUACACAACUCUAAGCAUAGCAUGCAUAGCAGGA
This 201-nucleotide long non-coding RNA is filed under the name Hordeum vulgare. RNAcentral describes it as "long non-coding RNA (HVUL_LNC001437)". Lineage: Eukaryota; Viridiplantae; Streptophyta; Magnoliopsida; Poales; Poaceae. The record is from RNAcentral.